Molecule: long non-coding RNA, 2034 nt
Organism: Asterias rubens (European starfish)
Lineage: Eukaryota; Metazoa; Echinodermata; Asteroidea; Forcipulatida; Asteriidae
Exons: 4
Source: RefSeq, a predicted model, not a curated record
UGAAAGUCACACAUCUUUGUCUGAGACUUCCAUUUUGUGAACUUGAACACUGCCUCCCACCAUUUGCUGACUAUGACAGAGGAUGGACAACUCACAAACAGAUCCAGUUAAUCACCGCGCUUAUCCCAACAGAAUGAAUUGCAGAGACGCUCAUUAAAGCACCUGUGAAAAAUCGUCAUUUAAGGGAACAGUACAAUUACAGCAAGGGGAGCUAUUUGUCACUUGACAAUCUCAGUCCGGAUUUAAAUGAGGAUGGCCAUUGCCAUGAUGUAGUCCCUCAGUACGUUACAACCAGGAGAUCCUCACUGUCCAACUCCAUAGGGAGCGGGACAACGGGAAGUGGGAUUCAGCAUUGCAAUCAAACGUGAGGCAUCCCCACACCCCAAAUGCUGCCACAUUGUCUGCUGUCAGCGCCUGGUUAACGAAACCUUUCCUCUCCUGGGAACCUUUCUCCUCCUUGAUCACAUCAUCAAGGGAGCAAAUAUCCAUCUUCAUAGAUCCAAGGUACUAGAAUCGGAGGUUCCCCUUUGGGAAAACUGCAACUCACUGUUCGUUGUUUGCAACCUGUGCUUGUCACCGAUGGGGAAGUCACAAAAAAGACCGGAAAAUGAAGUAUUUUAACACGCAGAGACUUGGGAAAAACUUCCCCUGAAAAACUGGAUGGAUCAAGAGAACAUUUGCCUCUGUUCAACAAUAUGAACAUCAAACCUAGAAGAAUUAAAACGAUUGUUUUUGCAUAUGAAACAGAAGUUGGCAAUAAGAAAUAAUUCAACAACUUAUCUGGAUUGAGAUGUUUGUUUUCAACUUUUUCCACAACUUUGUUUGUUAAAUUGCUUGCAGGGCUUCCAUACUGCAAGGGGACAGCUUGCUGAUAUCUUUUAAGACAAUUAAACUGUUUUGCCAAUUUAGUGCUGAUUUAUGGGCUAAAUUGUCAACAAACAUCAAUCUAAGUCCCUUUUGAAAUUUUUUCAGCUGAAUACAGUGUACACUUUUUGAGAAAGCAGCAAAAAACUAGCACAGUUUUUUCCAGCAAGACCGUCGAACCCAUUUUGUGUUUUAGCAUGACUCGAGGACCAGCCGCAUCUCCAGCCAUAGCAUUUACAAAUGGACACCACAUAAAUUUGAGCCUCCAAAACUCUCCUUUUGGUGAAAACUCUCCUUUUGGUGAAAACUCUCCUUUUGGUGAAAACUCUCCUUUUGGUGAAAACUCUCCUUUUGGUGAAAACUCUCCUUUUGGUGAAAACUCUCCUUUUGGUGAAAACUCUCCUUUUGGUGUGCUUUGGAGGUUCAAGUUUUUUGACUUAUUUUCAUUGAUAUCUAUUUAAUGGAACAUUUCAGAUUUAAUGAUUUUGCAGGGUGUCUACCAUCAUUACCAUCUUUGUAACAAGUUAGCUUUCAGAUAGAAAUUAAACCUUAGUUUUUUUCUGGGUCAUUACCAAAGUAUGACCAAACCUUUUUGUGACUUGAAGACAAAGGGACAAGUCUAGUCACAUACAUGUGGUAUACUCACCACCAUGUAUUUGAAUCAUGCACCAACUGUUGUCCAGAUCUUGUUGUCAUGCUAACUUACUUCCAUAAUGUGCCUCAUGCCUCAUUUGCUUAUUAGUUUGCACUGAACCCAAAUAAAGUCCUUUUCAACACAAAUUCACAAAUUGUGUAAUUAAAGUUUUAACCUAACACAGGUGUUCUGAAGAAAACAAUACUUGUUUUGUUGUGCCACCAAGAGUAUUUAUGAAUGAGUAAUGAGUUAGUGAGAAUAGUGCCCGCAUAGUUUUUAAACAGUUUUUUUAACACCCUUAUACUUUUUUGCUGAGUAUUUAAAAGGCCCACAGUAAACACCCCACCCACAUUAAACUUUAAUUAUGUUGUUUUCGUUAUUAUUCAUAAGUCAAAUGUCUUUUGAGGAAACUUUCAUACUAGGAUGGGCUGAGAUAUUCAUAUAGUAUCAGCUACCUUGAUCGUGGAUCCAUACUGAUUAAAGACAGUGGACACUAUUGGUAAUUGUCAAAGACUAGCCUUCACAGUUGGUGUAUC